UACGUAGGGGGCAAGCGUUGUCCGGAUUUAUUGGGCGUAAAGAGCGUGUAGGCGGCCUGACAGGUCUGCUGUGAAAACUCGAGGCUCAACCUCGAGAUGUCGGCGGAAACCGUCUGGCUAGAGUCCGGAAGAGGAGAGUGGAAUUCCUGGUGUAGCGGUGAAAUGCGCAGAUAUCAGGAGGAACACCAACAGCGAAGGCAGCACUCUGGGCCGGUACUGACGCUGAGGAGCGAAAGCAUGGGGAGCGAACAGG
RNAcentral lists this ribosomal RNA (253 nucleotides) under uncultured bacterium. RNAcentral describes it as "partial 16S ribosomal RNA". It matches the Rfam family "Bacterial small subunit ribosomal RNA", at positions 524 to 776 of the family's 1533-position model. The record is from RNAcentral.